GACUGUACGACUCAGUUCUUUAAGGAAGCCUCUCAUCACUAGACAAGUUUAAUUCCUCAUGAUUUAAUCUAAUGAUUUUGUACGCCGAACCUCUUCCUUCUUUUUUUUUUUUUUUUUAAUUUUUUAACGUUUAUUUCUUUUUCACAGAGACAGAGCAUGAGCAGGGGAGGGGCAGAGAGACAGGGAGACACAGAAUCUGAAGCAGAACUUCUUCCUUCUUAAUGUACUUCACACUUCACUUUCCAGAAACAAUUCCUGAUGGAAACAGAAGAGACAUUGGCCAUGGACACGUGUCUAGUUUAACCUGCGCUUCCGGAGCAAGGUUGACAGCAAUUACUACUCGCAGCCCUUCAGCUUUGUCUCCGGACACGCAGCUCCCUCAUCUAUCUUUCAAAAGCACAGGUCUUAUCAUGUUACACCUCCCACCUCCUGUCUUAAAAAAUGUAAGUGGUUAUCUAUUAAUUUCAGAUUUAUAUGGUCAAGUUUUGACAAUCUUUCAAAGCCAGGUCAUCUCCUAACCAGGUCAGAAUUUACAUUUACAAAUUAAUUUUACACUCUUCCCCUGCUUUCAUUAACCCUAUGCUGCUGUCAAACUCAAGGAUGGUAUAUAUUCUUUUAAUCAUGCAAGUUUCUCUCUUUGGCUGGUUCUUUACCUCACUCUUUACCAAGGAUGGCUAACGUCCUUUAUCGUUCUGCUCAGAUAAGAUUUCACCUCUUCAAUGAACUUUGGUUCAGACCCUUUGUAAGCUAAAAAUAUGCUCUCUUUCUUCUGAAUUACAUUAUUAUCAUAUUAUGUGUAGAAAGUAGAAAAUAUGAUUUCUAUGAUAGUAUAUAUUUAUAUGUCUUCAAUUUCCCAGCAACCUUUUGGCAUUUGAUGAACUGAGUCACUGUGCUGAGAAUGAGAAGAGAAUGGUGACCCUAACAUAGCAUUCCAUGUAGACAAACGGCUCUUCAGCCAGGUGUGGGGAGACUAAAUCUUGUUUAGACCAAUAUAGGAUAGUUCCAAAUUAUGAAUGAUGAAACAAUAGGCCGAAUUACUAACAACCUGCUAGAGUUGGUAUAAACGGAGAAAAAAGUCUGUAAUGUGAAACUGUUAACUCCCAUUGUCCCUUUGGACUCUCCUCUUCUGGGCUGUUUUGCUGUUUGUGACAUGAGACAGACUGUUGCCAUGGCUGUCAUCAAAGCAGAAGAUAAGAAGGCAGCUGGAGCUGGCAAGGUCACCAAGUCUGCCCAGAAAGCUCAGACGGCUAAAUGAAUAUUGUCCCCAAUGCCUGCCACCCCAGUCUUAGUCAGUAGUGGGAAAAUGGUCUCAGAACUGUUUGUGUCAAUUUAGCCAUUUAAGUUGAAUAGUAUAAGACUGGUUAAUGAUAACAGUGCCAUCCGAAAGUCAUCAGAAGGGAAGGAGAAUGUUUAGUGGACCAUUUGUAUACGGUCUGUGUGGCAGUUUUAAGUUACUAGUUUUUAAAAUCAGUAUCUUUUAAUGGAAACAGCUUGACCAAAAAUCUGGCGCAGAAUUUG
RNAcentral lists this long non-coding RNA (1518 nucleotides) under Felis catus (domestic cat). RNAcentral's name for it is "lncRNA (ENSFCAG00000046009.2)". Lineage: Eukaryota; Metazoa; Chordata; Mammalia; Carnivora; Felidae. The record is from RNAcentral.